This 595-nucleotide ribosomal RNA is filed under the name Ammonia sp. genotype T1. RNAcentral describes it as "bacterial SSU rRNA". The stretch from base 1 to 465 matches the Rfam family "Eukaryotic small subunit ribosomal RNA", at positions 1220 to 1501 of the family's 1831-position model. The record is from RNAcentral. Lineage: Eukaryota; Foraminifera; Rotaliida; Rotaliidae.
GGGUCCGGACACACUGAGGAUUGACAGAUAUACGUCGUGCGUUGAGCUCUCUCGGGGGCCGAGCGCAUGACUGAAAGAUGCUAGUUCUUUCAUGAUUAUGUGAUAGGUGGUGCAUGGCCGUUCUUAGUUCGUGGAGUGAUCUGUCUGCUUAAUUGCGUAUCAUAAAAAAAGAGACCUAGUAUACGCGUAAGAUAUCGUUUACGGUUCGUGACCCCCUUCGGGCGUGUGUCGCACGUACGUAUCAUACGCACUGGUCUCCGAUAGCAACGAACGUGACCGUACUCUAUUGUUGCAGCGAAUGUAUGCAUCUUCGGGUGUAUCUACCGCUGCUUAGCAUAUUUCAUGCCUCGUGCGUGUGUAUGCAUUAAACUAUAGAGACCGCUGUAUUUUUUUUAAACCAGAGGAAGGAUACGGCAAUAACAGGUCUGUGAUGCCCUCAGAUGUUCCGGACUGCACACGUGCUACAAUGAUCAUUGCACUGUGCAUCUAACCCAAUGUGCGUGGACGCCACGGUAUGUAUUUAUGCUUCGGCGUAGUAUAUAUCAGUUGGUCGGUCGCGCCGAACCUACUUCGAAAGUAAAAUUUCUCAGUGGGU